UGCAGUCGAGCGAACAGAAGGGAGCUUGCUCCCGGAUGUUAGCGGCGGACGGGUGAGUAACACGUGGGUAACCUGCCUGUAAGACUGGGAUAACUCCGGGAAACCGGAGCUAAUACCGGAUAGUUCCUUGAACCGCAUGGUUCAAGGAUGAAAGACGGUUUCGGCUGUCACUUACAGAUGGACCCGCGGCGCAUUAGCUAGUUGGUGGGGUAAUGGCUCACCAAGGCGACGAUGCGUAGCCGACCUGAGAGGGUGAUCGGCCACACUGGGACUGAGACACGGCCCAGACUCCUACGGGAGGCAGCAGUAGGGAAUCUUCCGCAAUGGACGAAAGUCUGACGGAGCAACGCCGCGUGAGUGAUGAAGGUUUUCGGAUCGUAAAGCUCUGUUGUUAGGGAAGAACAAGUGCGAGAGUAACUGCUCGCACCUUGACGGUACCUAACCAGAAAGCCACGGCUAACUACGUGCCAGCAGCCGCGGUAAUACGUAGGUGGCAAGCGUUGUCCGGAAUUAUUGGGCGUAAAGGGCUCGCAGGCGGUUUCUUAAGUCUGAUGUGAAAGCCCCCGGCUCAACCGGGGAGGGUCAUUGGAAACUGGGAAACUUGAGUGCAGAAGAGGAGAGUGGAAUUCCACGUGUAGCGGUGAAAUGCGUAGAGAUGUGGAGGAACACCAGUGGCGAAGGCGACUCUCUGGUCUGUAACUGACGCUGAGGAGCGAAAGCGUGGGGAGCGAACAGGAUUAGAUACCCUGGUAGUCCACGCCGUAAACGAUGAGUGCUAAGUGUUAGGGGGUUUCCGCCCCUUAGUGCUGCAGCUAACGCAUUAAGCACUCCGCCUGGGGAGUACGGUCGCAAGACUGAAACUCAAAGGAAUUGACGGGGGCCCGCACAAGCGGUGGAGCAUGUGGUUUAAUUCGAAGCAACGCGAAGAACCUUACCAGGUCUUGACAUCCUCUGACAACCCUAGAGAUAGGGCUUUCCCUUCGGGGACAGAGUGACAGGUGGUGCAUGGUUGUCGUCAGCUCGUGUCGUGAGAUGUUGGGUUAAGUCCCGCAACGAGCGCAACCCUUGAUCUUAGUUGCCAGCAUUUAGUUGGGCACUCUAAGGUGACUGCCGGUGACAAACCGGAGGAAGGUGGGGAUGACGUCAAAUCAUCAUGCCCCUUAUGACCUGGGCUACACACGUGCUACAAUGGACAGAACAAAGGGCUGCGAGACCGCAAGGUUUAGCCAAUCCCAUAAAUCUGUUCUCAGUUCGGAUCGCAGUCUGCAACUCGACUGCGUGAAGCUGGAAUCGCUAGUAAUCGCGGAUCAGCAUGCUCGCG
This 1321-nucleotide ribosomal RNA is filed under the name Bacillus sp. DB62(2010). Its description in RNAcentral is "bacterial SSU rRNA". It matches the Rfam family "Bacterial small subunit ribosomal RNA", at positions 56 to 1361 of the family's 1533-position model. Lineage: Bacteria; Bacillati; Bacillota; Bacilli; Caryophanales; Bacillaceae. The record is from RNAcentral.